Molecule: non-coding RNA, 72 nt
Organism: Bos taurus (domestic cattle)
Lineage: Eukaryota; Metazoa; Chordata; Mammalia; Artiodactyla; Bovidae
Source: Rfam
UCUCUGAUGGUCCAGUGGUUAGGACUCAGGACUUUCACUGUCAGGGCCCAGGUUCAACCCCUGAUUGGAGAA